This 440-nucleotide ribosomal RNA is filed under the name uncultured bacterium. RNAcentral describes it as "partial 16S ribosomal RNA". It matches the Rfam family "Bacterial small subunit ribosomal RNA", at positions 338 to 795 of the family's 1533-position model. The record is from RNAcentral.
CCUACGGGAGGCAGCAGUGGGGAAUAUUGCACAAUGGGGGAAACCCUGAUGCAGCGACGCCGCGUGAGUGAAGAAGUAAUUCGGUAUGUAAAGCUCUAUCAGCAGGGAGGAAAAUGACGGUACCUGAGUAAGAAUCCCCGGCUGACUCCGUGCCAGCAGCCGCAGUACUACGUAGGGGGCAAGCGUUAUCCGGAUUUACUGGGUGUAAAGGGAGCGUAGACGGCAGUGCAAGUCUGGAGUGAAAGCCGGGGGCUCAACCCCCGGACUGCGCUGGAAACUGUACGGCUGGAGUGCAGGAGCGGUAAGUGGAAUGCCUAGUGUAGCGGUGAAAUGCGUAGAGAUCAGGAGGAACACCAGUGGCGAAGGCGGCUUACUGGACUGUAACUGACGUUGAGGCUCGAAAGCGUGGGGAGCAAACAGGAUUAGAUACCCGGGUAGUC